This 26-nucleotide non-coding RNA is filed under the name Macaca fascicularis (crab-eating macaque). RNAcentral also lists the same sequence under 1 other name. The record is from RNAcentral. Lineage: Eukaryota; Metazoa; Chordata; Mammalia; Primates; Cercopithecidae.
UCCCAUCCCAGGAAGGAGAGUGCCCU